Molecule: small nuclear RNA, 105 nt
Filed under: Stegodyphus dumicola
Lineage: Eukaryota; Metazoa; Arthropoda; Arachnida; Araneae; Eresidae
Source: RNAcentral
UGUUACUCGCUUCGGCAGUAUACUAAAAUUGGAACGAUACAGAGAAGAUUAGCAUGGCCCCUGCGCAAGGAUGACACGCAAAAUCGUGAACAAGGAGGUUUCUAA